This 305-nucleotide ribosomal RNA is filed under the name uncultured bacterium. RNAcentral's name for it is "bacterial SSU rRNA". It matches the Rfam family "Bacterial small subunit ribosomal RNA", at positions 338 to 657 of the family's 1533-position model. The record is from RNAcentral.
CCUACGGGGGGCAGCAGUCGGGAAUAUUGCGCAAUGGAGGAAACUCUGACGCAGUGACGCCGCGUGCAGGAAGAAGGUUUUCGGAUUGUAAACUGCUUUAGACAGGGAAGAAAGAAAUGACGGUACCUGUAGAAUAAGCUCCGGCUAACUACGUGCCAGCAGCCGCGGUAAUACGUAGGGAGCAAGCGUUAUCCGGAUUUAUUGGGUGUAAAGGGUGCGUAGACGGGUAUACAAGUUAGUAGUGAAAUCCCUCGGCUUAACUGAGGAACUGCUACUAAAACUAUAUAUCUUGAGUACUGGAGGGG